Molecule: long non-coding RNA, 535 nt
Organism: Ylistrum balloti
Lineage: Eukaryota; Metazoa; Mollusca; Bivalvia; Pectinida; Pectinidae
Exons: 4
Source: RefSeq, a predicted model, not a curated record
UUGUCGCUGUCACCACCAGAGCACACCACGGAAUGCUGCUUGCACUUGGAGCAGUCACCUGUGUAGCGGGAUACAGUUGCAUCUAACACUGCAGGUGGUCCUGAGGUCGGUUGUCUCCCCUACAUGGAUGGAUGUUGGGAUCUAGCUGACCUCUCCUGUAGUCAGACUCCCGAGCGGACCUGGACCUUUUCGCAUGCUGCCUGUGCUGUUCUGCUAACAACAACAUACUUCUUUUCUUGACAGCAGAAGCUCCAAUGUCAUUUGAAGUUGAUGGAUCUGGUUUGAACUCAGGAACAUUGAUCGCACCCACCAGUUGUCGCUGUCACCACCAGAGCACACCACGGAAUGCUGCUUGCACUUGGAGCAGUCACCUGUGUAGCGGGAUACAGUUGCAUCUAACACUGCAGGCUCAGAGUUGGAUUCUUCAGCUGUAACAGUUGCUGGCCGUAGUAUCCGUGUUGGACAUGGUCUGUCUCCAGUAUCUGUUGUUACCAGGGAAAGGCCGUCAGGACUGGGCUUGGUGAUCAGCUGAAAU